Molecule: long non-coding RNA, 1567 nt
Organism: Osmia bicornis bicornis
Lineage: Eukaryota; Metazoa; Arthropoda; Insecta; Hymenoptera; Megachilidae
Exons: 4
Source: RefSeq, a predicted model, not a curated record
GCGACAGAAGGGUGAAAAUGAGUUUUCAACGACGCGAGAGGGAAACAGGGCUCGUAAAAGAGGAGACGGUAACAACGGAUCCAAGCAAAGAAUGGAACAGUUAUGUAGAUCGAAACCUGGAACAAAGUUACUUUUCUUGCUCGUUGUUCAACGUCAAAGAUAUUUUCGAAAAUUGAUGCGAACCUGCGCCGUUAUGCAACGGGAAAUCGAUCGAUUUCAGGGGGUUGCGUGUAAUUUCGAGGGACGCUCCAGGAUUGUCCCUGUGUCUGUCGGAUAAUGAAGUUUCUUGUAAACGCAUUUUCGCGUAAAGUGGAAUAUAGCGAAGCGAAAAAAAUUAUUUGAAACGCUUUUAACGCUCCCCAACAACUUUUCCAUUUUAUCGCCGAGACGGGAUUACUCUUGUUAACGUGACCGAAACACGUUGCCCAACGAGUGUCAUUUGUAAAUGUUACUCAAAUAUUAUGAUUGAACAAGCGUGAAAAAUCUUAGAAAAUAAUUUUCUGCUUCCUUGAACAAGGUUCGAUUGUUUAGCUUCUCCUUCAUUUUUCAUUUAUCGUCGCCAAUGACGGUCCUAGCACGGAGUAAUGUGUUCGAAAGGGAAUAAAAGCUACAAAACGUUGAUGGAGAAACAGCUAGGGAAAGGAAAAGGACAAAAAAGCGAGGGGGAUUGUCGAAAUGAGCAAUAUUAGUCGGGCGUGAAGUAACUUCCGUGAACUUUUUUACAAUCCAAGCCACGGAUAUAAAUCUCCUCGCCAGCUGACGAGAGGGAAAAGAUGAAAUAAGAAACGUGCUAACAAGGAAAGUUCGAGGGUCGAUAUUGGCAGAUAUUGAGGGAAGUUGAAAAACAAUUCUUCCUUCGGGUCAUGAUGUACGAAAAACUUGACAAACAAUUUUCUACAAGUUAUAAAGUCACUUUUUUCAUCGUAUCUUCAAUCUAAUGGUAUUUAUCAAUUACAAAUGCAAGCAUUUGAAUACUUUUGUAAACGACUGUAUCAUUUCGUUCUUUUACCACCAUCACUGUCAUCGGGUACAAUUUUAAAGCGUUCUCUACCUUGCUUCUUGCAAAAAAAAAAAAAACGAAAAUGAAGGUAAAGGAGAAGCAAAUGGUAUGUUUGUGUGCACCGAUGCAUCCGCCCAUCAGAGGAUUAUCAUCAACAACGAACACGGUGAAACCAAUGAAGACAUCUGUUUGAUACCCUCUGCUAUUACGAACACGGUGCACAGCAAGAAAAAUAAGAACGAAAAGUCAGGAUGGUAGUGGAUUUAAGUGGGACGGAAGAAGAAGAGGCAAGGAUAAAGGGUAGAGUAAGAACAAACCUCUAACAUGGAGGAUACAAGGCACGAGAGGCAAGGCAAUCGAUCGUCGUACUUACAGAAAACUAAAUAAACUCAACUAACUAAAGAAGAAAGUCUCUUGAACCGUUUAAAUUAUUUCACUGAACAACCGAGGAGAACAAUUUAAUCACCACAACCCUUUGGACAACCAAUGCUUCUUAUAGUCAAUGGAGAAAAUUUUAUUAUUAUCAAUUGUGAGGUUUCAAAAAUUGAUUUCUUCAGAAAUAAAAAU